RNAcentral lists this long non-coding RNA (542 nucleotides) under Homo sapiens (human). RNAcentral's name for it is "HSALNT0278612". The record is from RNAcentral. Lineage: Eukaryota; Metazoa; Chordata; Mammalia; Primates; Hominidae.
GGAGCAUUUGAAAAUAAUGAAAGGACAUUUCUAUGGACCAGAAGUGAAAACAUCUCCCCGAAACUAAAAUGCAAGCGAUAACUGGGAACCACGUGCCGUCUGCCCAUGGGUGGGGGCUGGAAAUCUUGCCAGGAUUUGUGGCCAGAAAAUGGUCCCCCAUGGCCAGGGACAGAAGCUAGUCAUUGACAUGAGUCCAGGGUGCAUCCUGCAUGGCACGAGUGGUGUGCACAGUGCUCUGAAGACAGAGCUUCUUCACCCUGUGUGCCCUGGAGGACCAGGGUGGAUACAACCAGGGAACCACAACACAUAGACACACAGACCCCAGUCCAGGAAGGAGAGAUGCCCUGCAGGAGACAGCUGCAGAAACAAACAAAGCACGUAGGACAAAAUAGCAUUGCGACAGUCACCAGACCACAUAGAGGAAGAUUCUUGCAGUAGCAUAAUCUUGGCUCACUGCAACCUCCGCCUCCUGGGUUCAAGCAAUUCUCCUGUCUCAGCCUCCUGUGUAGCUGGGACUACAGGUGCGUGCCACCACACCCAGC